RNAcentral lists this ribosomal RNA (465 nucleotides) under uncultured bacterium. RNAcentral describes it as "partial 16S ribosomal RNA". It matches the Rfam family "Bacterial small subunit ribosomal RNA", at positions 28 to 507 of the family's 1533-position model. The record is from RNAcentral.
GAUGAACGCUGGCGGCGUGCUUAACACAUGCAAGUCGAACGGAAAGGCCCCUUUGGGGGUACUCGAGUGGCGAACGGGUGAGUAACACGUGAGUAACCUGCCCUUGACUUCGGGAUAACUUCAGGAAACUGGGGCUAAUACCGGAUAGGAAUCCUUGCUGCAUGGUGGGGGUUGGAAAGCUUCGGCGGUUUUGGAUGGACUCGCGGCUUAUCAGCUUGUUGGUGGGGUAGUGGCUUACCAAGGCUUUGACGGGUAGCCGGCCUGAGAGGGCGACCGGCCACAUUGGGACUGAGAUACGGCCCAGACUCCUACGGGAGGCAGCAGUGGGGAAUAUUGCACAAGGGGCGGAAGCCUGAUGCAGCAACGCCGCGGGCGGGAUGACGGCCUUCGGGUUGUAAACCGCGUUCAGCAGGGGCGAAGCUUGUGGUGACGGUACCUGCAGAAGAAGCACCGGCUAACUACGUG